Molecule: ribosomal RNA, 1621 nt
Filed under: Salmonella enterica subsp. enterica serovar Kentucky
Lineage: Bacteria; Pseudomonadati; Pseudomonadota; Gammaproteobacteria; Enterobacterales; Enterobacteriaceae
Description: partial 23S ribosomal RNA
Rfam family: Bacterial large subunit ribosomal RNA
Source: RNAcentral
CGGAAGACCAAGGGUUCCUGUCCAACGUUAAUCGGGGCAGGGUGAGUCGACCCCUAAGGCGAGGCCGAAAGGCGUAGUCGAUGGGAAACGGGUUAAUAUUCCCGUACUUGGUGUUACUGCGAAGGGGGGACGGAGAAGGCUAUGUUGGCCGGGCGACGGUUGUCCCGGUUUAAGCGUGUAGGUGUGUGUUCCAGGUAAAUCCGGUUCACUUUAACACUGAGGCGUGAUGACGAGGCACUACGGUGCUGAAGCAACAAAUGCCCUGCUUCCAGGAAAAGCCUCUAAGCAUCAGGUAACAUCAAAUCGUACCCCAAACCGACACAGGUGGUCAGGUAGAGAAUACCAAGGCGCUUGAGAGAACUCGGGUGAAGGAACUAGGCAAAAUGGUGCCGUAACUUCGGGAGAAGGCACGCUGACACGUAGGUGAAGUGAUUUACUCACGGAGCUGAAGUCAGUCGAAGAUACCAGCUGGCUGCAACUGUUUAUUAAAAACACAGCACUGUGCAAACACGAAAGUGGACGUAUACGGUGUGACGCCUGCCCGGUGCCGGAAGGUUAAUUGAUGGGGUCAGCGCAAGCGAAGCUCCUGAUCGAAGCCCCGGUAAACGGCGGCCGUAACUAUAACGGUCCUAAGGUAGCGAAAUUCCUUGUCGGGUAAGUUCCGACCUGCACGAAUGGCGUAAUGAUGGCCAGGCUGUCUCCACCCGAGACUCAGUGAAAUUGAACUCGCUGUGAAGAUGCAGUGUACCCGCGGCAAGACGGAAAGACCCCGUGAACCUUUACUAUAGCUUGACACUGAACAUUGAGCCUUGAUGUGUAGGAUAGGUGGGAGGCUUUGAAGUGUGGACGCCAGUCUGCAUGGAGCCGACCUUGAAAUACCACCCUUUAAUGUUUGAUGUUCUAACGUGGACCCGUGAUCCGGGUUGCGGACAGUGUCUGGUGGGUAGUUUGACUGGGGCGGUCUCCUCCUAAAGAGUAACGGAGGAGCACGAAGGUUGGCUAAUCCUGGUCGGACAUCAGGAGGUUAGUGCAAUGGCAUAAGCCAGCUUGACUGCGAGCGUGACGGCGCGAGCAGGUGCGAAAGCAGGUCAUAGUGAUCCGGUGGUUCUGAAUGGAAGGGCCAUCGCUCAACGGAUAAAAGGUACUCCGGGGAUAACAGGCUGAUACCGCCCAAGAGUUCAUAUCGACGGCGGUGUUUGGCACCUCGAUGUCGGCUCAUCACAUCCUGGGGCUGAAGUAGGUCCCAAGGGUAUGGCUGUUCGCCAUUUAAAGUGGUACGCGAGCUGGGUUUAGAACGUCGUGAGACAGUUCGGUCCCUAUCUGCCGUGGGCGCUGGAGAACUGAGGGGGGCUGCUCCUAGUACGAGAGGACCGGAGUGGACGCAUCACUGGUGUUCGGGUUGUCAUGCCAAUGGCACUGCCCGGUAGCUAAAUGCGGAAGAGAUAAGUGCUGAAAGCAUCUAAGCACGAAACUUGCCCCGAGAUGAGUUCUCCCUGAGACUUUAGGUCUCCUGAAGGAACGUUGAAGACGACGACGUUGAUAGGCCGGGUGUGUAAGCGCAGCGAUGCGUUGAGCUAACCGGUACUAAUGAACCGUGAGGCUUAACCUUACAACGCCGAAG